Long non-coding RNA from Trifolium pratense (red clover), 613 nucleotides. RefSeq lists it as uncharacterized. The transcript has 2 exons. Lineage: Eukaryota; Viridiplantae; Streptophyta; Magnoliopsida; Fabales; Fabaceae. The record is from RefSeq and is a predicted model, not a curated record.
UUUAAAAAAUUUAGUGGACAUGUUUUGGUCUAUUAUUACGGGAAUAAUAGUUGUAAGGUAUUAUUUGCAAGAAUUUAUCUCUCUCUCUCUCUCUCUCAAAAGUUAUAUGGCUUAUUUUAAGAAGUUUAUAUUGAACCUGGCUUUGCUCUUUAUGAUGAUUUUAUCAAUGAAAGUGGCAACAACGGCAAGGGUACCACUAUGGAAAAUUGAGCCUCAUCACAAAACAUAUGGAAGCCCAAUUUAUGUUGUUAAUAAUCGUCCUCGUGACCACAACUAUAUUAUUGAUCCUCCUCCUGAAUGUUGUUGAUCAUAUUUUCGAACUUCUUGCAAAGAUGAUCACAACAUUUAUAAUGAUGGCAAAGAAUAAAAAAGAGAGAAGAAGAAGAAGAAAGAUCCAAGCAAAACUUCUGGAAUUGCAUAUGAGUUUGUGUCCAUACAUUAUAGCUAAGGUUCUAUUUUGCAAGGCUAAUUUUCGAACUUAUAGUAGAAAGCUUAUAACUUAAUUAGUGACUAAAAUGUAACCUACAUAGAUUGAUUUGGUGGUAAAAGCUUAUAUAGCUAAUAACCCACGUAGAUUUUAUCCAGAACAAUUUUAAUGAUUGAUUUAGUUUCA